UUACUUUUUCCAGUGAAAGCUUCAUCUGUUGAUAUUUACUGUGAACGUUUUGUGUAUAUUUAAAUAUAUUCAGCUAUGUUAAAAGACAUGUGUAAUGUCAAAUCAUAAAAAUACUAAGUGUUUAUUCUUAAAGAAAACUUGUAAGAUUUCCACAGCUGUUUUUGUUGAAUAUGUGCAAUUUGUGUACUCAGUGCAAUUUGGGUACUGUUACGUUAUAUCUGUUCUCUACAGAGCUAAGUAUUUAGUGACAAUCUAUUUUCGUAUUGGAUAAUGUAUCUGGUCUAAAAAAAAUAGUUUGCCACAAGUAUUUAGUGACAAUUAUCUAUUCCUGUAUGAGAUGAUGUAUCUGGUGUGAUUUUUUUAUUAUUUUACCACUGAAUGAAUCACCAAUCAAACUAUAUAAAUAGAUUGAAGUUAAAAAAAAAUAUCUGGAAAAUUAACUGAAUCCUUAGACAGAAUGAAUAAUAUAAUUAUAACUUUUUUGUUAUGCCCAACUGCUAGUUGAAGGGGCAUUAACUUUUACUGUUGUCAUGAUGUCCAUCCAUACAUAUGUCUGUCUGUACAGAAAUUGGUUUCCAUUUUCUUACUUUAUUUGCACUCAAUUAUUUUUUUCACAGAACACAGAUCAAUUUAUUCGAAUUUGAGUGGCAUCACUUUGACCGUUCGUGAGUUAUGCCCCUUUAUUAACGCAAAAAUUGCUGAAUCUUUCUUUUCUAGUCUCUAACUUAAGUUUGUCCUAACAAAUGUUAUAAAACUUAUACACUACUUAUUACCACAAAACACAGAUCAAGUUUGAAUUUGACUCCCGUCACUGUAACCGUUCUUGAGUUACAUGUAUUUAUGCUCCUUUAUUAUUAAAUGGAAAAAAUUGCCAAAUCUGUGGUGGAUCCGACAAACUGUUGUAUACCGAUUUUAUUUAUUUAGAUAUGAUUUACAAACUUCAGAAAAGGUUGAGAAGCAUUUUAAUUCUAGGGAAUUCCAACCUGAAGCAAGUUGUACCAAUGGAAUUGAUGGAAGCCCCCAUUAGAACACUGUGCAUAACUGGGGUUGCAACUUCACCAUCUCAUACAGCAUCUAGUUCAUCAAAGAUGACCUAUGCUGAAGUGGUGAGACUUCCUGUGCAUGCAACAGGUCAGACCAAACUAAAACCACGUUUGAUAUUAAGUGUAUGGAAAUGAAGAAAUCAAUUGGAGUCCCUACAUUCAAAAGGAGGAGUGUGUCUUCAGUUGAGAUUGGUAGAAAAAAAGAAAAAACAAUACAGGGUAAAGACAAGUGAUCUAGUAUUUGGGGUCACAGAGGAUGUGGCUGUAGUCCUACCAAACAAAGCUUUACUGGAACAUAGUUUUUAUCAGACUCACAUAAAAAAGCAACUGCUUGAACCCAUAUCAAUGCAGCCUACGAAGAAAAUGUGUGUGAUGAAGAAAGAAGAAAAGAGCACCUUUAAUUGUCCUGUUUGUCCAGUGAUGUGCUUAAAAGAAGACUUUUUGAUAGAUCAUGUUAUUUUGGCCAUACUAAAAAAAUAAAAAAAGGCAGAAUUCAGACAGACAGAGAUUCGUCAUUUCAGAUACCAAAUAAAGAAAAUGCUGUUGAGGAACAGGGGAGUUUCUGUGAUGAGAAUGAUACACAAAGAGCAUUUGAGUGUAAUGAAGUUGAGAGUAGUAUUUUAACCAAAAGAACAUCUGCCUUAACAACAGUGAAGGUUUUAGCGAGCAGGUGCUAUUUGGUGAUGUUGAAAGAAAUCCAGGACCUACAAUGGUUUAUCAAGACUAAUCUUAGUGCUUGCCAUACAAGUGUCAAAGAGUGAAGGGCAAGAACAAUUUUAAAGAACAGAGAAGACUUGUUUUAUUGCACUUAGUUUUGAGUUUUUGUUUUAUAUUUUACCACUAUGAUAGAGUAAUGUAACAUUCAGGAAAUGUAUUGUUCUGAUA
Mytilus californianus (California mussel) is the source of this 1928-nucleotide long non-coding RNA. RefSeq lists it as uncharacterized. NCBI's taxonomy places the organism in Eukaryota, Metazoa, Mollusca, Bivalvia, Mytilida, Mytilidae. The transcript is spliced from 9 exons. The record is from RefSeq and is a predicted model, not a curated record.